CCCUUUGGCCAUUCCGAAGGGCAUGCCUGUUUGAGUAUCAUGAACACCUCAACUCUCAUGGCUUGCCGUGAUGUGCUUGGACUUUGGGGGUCUUGUUGGCCUGUGGGCCAGCUCCUCUUAAAUGAAUCAGCUUGCCGGUGUCUGGUGGCGUCACAGGUGUGAUAACUAUCUACGCUUGUGGUUUCCCACUAGGGUAACCUUCAGCAAUGAAGGUUCACCGGAGCUUAUAAAUGUCUCUCCUCAGCGAGGACAGAUUUUGACCAUUUGAUCUCAAAUCAGGUAGGACUACCCGCUGAACUUAAGC
Molecule: ribosomal RNA, 304 nt
Filed under: uncultured Tomentella
Lineage: Eukaryota; Fungi; Basidiomycota; Agaricomycetes; Thelephorales; Thelephoraceae
Description: eukaryotic LSU rRNA
Source: RNAcentral